RNAcentral lists this ribosomal RNA (2304 nucleotides) under Lonsdalea quercina subsp. quercina. RNAcentral's name for it is "bacterial LSU rRNA". It matches the Rfam family "Bacterial large subunit ribosomal RNA", at positions 14 to 2338 of the family's 2925-position model. The record is from RNAcentral. Lineage: Bacteria; Pseudomonadati; Pseudomonadota; Gammaproteobacteria; Enterobacterales; Pectobacteriaceae.
AGCGUACACGGNGGAUGCCUAGGCAGUCAGAGGCGAUGAAGGGCGUGCUAAUCUGCGAAAAGCGUCGGCAAGGUGAUAUGAACCGUUAUACCCGACGAUACCCGAAUGGGGAAACCCAGUGCAAUCCGUUGCNCUAUCGCAACAUGAAUACAUAGUGUUGCGAGGCGANCCGGGGGAACUGAAACAUCUCAGUACCCCGAGGAAAAGAAAUCAACCGAGAUUCCCCUAGUAGCGGCGAGCGAACGGGGAGGAGCCCAGAACCUGAAUCAGUUUGUGUCUUAGNNGAAGCGUCUGGAAAGUCGCACGACAGAGGGUGAUAGUCCCGUACACGAAGAGGCAUGGAUUGUGAGUUCGAUGAGUAGGGCGGGACACGUGUUAUCCUGUCUGAAUAUGGGGGGACCAUCCUCCAAGGCUAAAUACUCCUGACUGACCGAUAGUGAACCAGUACCGUGAGGGAAAGGCGAAAAGAACCCCGGCGAGGGGAGUGAAAUAGAACCUGAAACCGUGUACGUACAAGCAGUGGGAGCCUUGAUUAAUCAGGGUGACUGCGUACCUUUUGUAUAAUGGGUCAGCGACUUAUAUUCUGUAGCAAGGUUAACCGAAUAGGGGAGCCGCAGGGAAACCGAGUCUUAACUGGGCGUUAAGUUGNAGGGNAUAGACCCGAAACCCGGNGAUCUAGCCAUGGGCAGGUUGAAGGUUGGGUAACACUAACUGGAGGACCGAACCGACUAAUGUUGAAAAAUUAGCGGAUGACUUGUGGCUGGGGGGGAAAGGCCAAUCAAACCGGGAGAUAGCUGGUUCUCCCCGAAAGCUAUUUAGGUAGCGCCUCGUGAACUCAUCUUCGGGGGUAGAGCACUGUUUCGACUAGGGGGCCAUCCCGGCUUACCAACUCGAUGAAAACUGCGAAUACCGAAGAAUGUUAUCACGGGAGACACACGGCGGGUGCUAACGUCCGUCGUGAAGAGGGAAACAACCCAGACCGCCAGCUAAGGUCCCAAAGUCAUGGUUAAGUGGGAAACGAUGUGGGAAGGCCCAGACAGCCAGGAUGUUGGCUUAGAAGCAGCCAUCAUUUAAAGAAAGCGUAAUAGCUCACUGGUCGAGUCGGCCCGCGCGGAAGAUGUAACGGGGCUAAACCAUGCACCGAAGCUGCGGCAGCGACACUUAGGUGUUGUUGGGUAGGGGAGCGUUCUGUAAGCCUGCGAAGGUGACCUGUGAGGGUUGCUGGAGGUAUCAGAAGUGCGAAUGCUGACAUAAGUAACGAUAAUGCGGGUGAAAAACCCGCACGCCGGAAGACCAAGGGUUCCUGUCCAACGUUAAUCGGGGCAGGGNGAGUCGACCCCUAAGGCGAGGCCGAAAGGCGUAGUCGAUGGGAAACAGGUUAAUAUUCCUGUACUUGGUGUUACUGCGAAGGGGGGACGGAGAAGGCUAGGUUAUCCGGGCGACGGUUGUCCCGGUUUAAGCGUGUAGGUGGAUGUUUUUGGUAAAUCCGGAACAUCGUUAACACUGAGGCGUGAUGACGAGUCACUACGGUGAUGAAGUGACCGAUGCCAAGCUUCCAGGAAAAGCCUCUAAGCUCCAGGUAACACGAAAUCGUACCCCAAACCGACACAGGUGGUCAGGUAGAGAAUACCAAGGCGCUUGAGAGAACUCGGGUGAAGGAACUAGGCAAAAUGGUGCCGUAACUUCGGGAGAAGGCACGCUGGCGUUGGUGAAGGGACUUGCUCCCGGAGCUGAUACCAGUCGCAGAUACCAGCUGGCUGCAACUGUUUAAUAAAAACACAGCACUGUGCAAACACGAAAGUGGACGUAUACGGUGUGACGCCUGCCCGGUGCCGGAAGGUUAAUUGAUGGGGUCAGCCGCAAGGCGAAGCUCUUGAUCGAAGCCCCGGUAAACGGCGGCCGUAACUAUAACGGUCCUAAGGUAGCGAAAUUCCUUGUCGGGUAAGUUCCGACCUGCACGAAUGGCGUAAUGAUGGCCAGGCUGUCUCCACCCGAGACUCAGUGAAAUUGAACUCGCUGUGAAGAUGCAGUGUACCCGCGGCAAGACGGAAAGACCCCGUGAACCUUUACUAUAGCUUGACACUGAACCUUGAGCCUUGCUGUGUAGGAUAGGUGGGAGGCUUUGAAGUGUGGACGCCAGUCUGCAUGGAGCCAACCUUGAAAUACCACCCUUUAAUGUUUGAUGUUCUAACGUGGGCCCCUGACCGGGGUUGCGGACAGUGUCUGGUGGGUAGUUUGACUGGGGCGGUCUCCUCCCAAAGAGUAACGGAGGAGCACGAAGGUUAGCUAAUCCUGGCCGGACAU